GAACAACCAAAUGUGGUGGUGGAUCAAAUGCCUUCUGUACAGACCUCCCAUCUGCAGGCCCUGAAGAGGUGAGCCAGAGCUCGGAGGAAGGGAGACACAUUGGACUGAAUUUGAGAAUAAUAUUUUAGAUUCCUCACAUGGGAUUUGGGGUUUUUACCAAAAGGUCAUCAGAAAUUCUGUGUCUUACCCAAGAUGAACUUAAGAAGCAGGCGAGGAAGAUGAAGAAACUCUGGUUGCAAACAGGCCACCUUCGGAAGGUGCUCACUGGAGGGAUGACCCUCUUCUAACUUCAUAGCACAAGUUUUUCCAGAAGAGAUGUGUGAAGAUUCAGACAUGGUAGAAUGUGUGACUGGCUUACAGGGGGAGUCUUAAUUCCUGACCAAACUGAAGUGGACAGACUCAACUGGAAAUACUUUCUGACCUAGCAGCAGUGACAAGACCACAGGCAUUCAUCUUCUCUUAUACUUCAAAAGACCCAAGAAAGAAGUUUCUCUGAUUCAAAUUUGUACCAUCAACACAUUGGAGGGAACAUUGUUUAUUUGGUAGAUGAAUUUAUGAAUGGUUUUCUCUUUAUUGGAAACAUUAAAGAAGC
Molecule: long non-coding RNA, 592 nt
Organism: Sciurus carolinensis (gray squirrel)
Lineage: Eukaryota; Metazoa; Chordata; Mammalia; Rodentia; Sciuridae
Exons: 4
Source: RefSeq, a predicted model, not a curated record